UGGGGAAUCUUGCGCAAUGGGCGAAAGCCUGACGCAGCGACACCGCGUGAGUGAGGAAGGUCUUCGGAUUGUAAAGCUCUGUCGGCAGGAAAGAUGGAACAGGUGGUUAAUACCCAUUUGUUUUGACGGUACCUGCAAAGGAAGCACCGGCUAACUCUGUGCCAGCAGCCGCGGUAAUACAGAGGGUGCAAGCGUUGUUCGGAUUUACUGGGCGUAAAGGGCGCGUAGGCGGCAAUUCAAGUCAUCUGUGAAAUCUCCGGGCUUAACUCGGAACGGUCAGAUGAUACUGCUUUGCUAGAGUGCAGAAGGGGCAAUCGGAAUUCUUGGUGUAGCGGUGAAAUGCGUAGAUAUCAAGAGGAACACCUGAGGUGAAGACGGGUUGCUGGGCUGACACUGACGCUGAGGCGCGAAAGCCAGGGGAGCAAACGGGAUUAGAUACCCCCGUAGUCCCUGAGCGGGCUGGCAAGGCGCAU
Molecule: ribosomal RNA, 473 nt
Filed under: uncultured bacterium
Lineage: Bacteria
Description: bacterial SSU rRNA
Rfam family: Bacterial small subunit ribosomal RNA
Source: RNAcentral